RNAcentral lists this ribosomal RNA (264 nucleotides) under Triticum aestivum (bread wheat). RNAcentral's name for it is "partial small subunit ribosomal RNA". Lineage: Eukaryota; Viridiplantae; Streptophyta; Magnoliopsida; Poales; Poaceae. The record is from RNAcentral.
AUGACUAUGAAAGCGAGGCGGUGUGGAAGUCUUGACAAUGACGAAUAUUGGGAUGUGGUGGUCGUGCCUGGGGAUGGUGAGUUGAUCGUGCUGGUCAAACUUGCCGGGUGGUUACUUCACAUUGACAUGGAUGGCAAGUUGGUCGCCAAUUUCCAUCGCCAAAGUGUUUGGCCUUCUCAAUUUCAGCUCAAGCAAUCUCUUUUCCCGCAUGCCUUCUUUCCAACACUAGAGGGCUAUGUUGUGAAUGAGGUGCCUUUCUUAUGA